UACGUAGGGGGCAAGCGUUGUCCGGAAUUACUGGGCGUAAAGCGCGUGUAGGCGGGACGACAAGUCCGGCGUGAAAGGCUUGGGCUCAACCCGAGAUGGCCGUUGGAAACUGUCGUUCUUGAGGGUCGAAGAGGAGAGUGGAAUUCCUGGUGUAGCGGUGAAAUGCGUAGAGAUCAGGAGGAACACCCAUGGCGAAGGCAGCUCGCUGGGACGUAACUGACGCUGAGACGCGAAAGCGUGGGGAGCAAGCAGG
RNAcentral lists this ribosomal RNA (253 nucleotides) under uncultured bacterium. Its description in RNAcentral is "partial 16S ribosomal RNA". It matches the Rfam family "Bacterial small subunit ribosomal RNA", at positions 524 to 776 of the family's 1533-position model. The record is from RNAcentral.